RNAcentral lists this ribosomal RNA (490 nucleotides) under uncultured bacterium. RNAcentral's name for it is "bacterial SSU rRNA". It matches the Rfam family "Bacterial small subunit ribosomal RNA", at positions 30 to 507 of the family's 1533-position model. The record is from RNAcentral.
AUUGAACGCUGGCGGCAGGCCUAACACAUGCAAGUCGAAUGGUAACAGGAAACAGCUUGCUGUUUCGCUGACGAGUGGCGGACGGGUGAGUAAUGUCUGGGAAACUGCCUGAUGGAGGGGGAUAACUACUGGAAACGGUAGCUAAUACCGCAUAACGUCGCAAGACCAAAGAGGGGGACCUUCGGGCCUCUUGCCAUCAGAUGUGCCCAGAUGGGAUUAGCUAGUAGGUGGGGUAACGGCUCACCUAGGCGACGAUCCCUAGCUGGUCUGAGAGGAUGACCAGCCACACUGGAACUGAGACACGGUCCAGACUCCUACGGGAGGCAGCAGUGGGGAAUAUUGCACAAUGGGCGCAAGUCUGAUGCAGCCAUGCCGCGUGUAUGAAGAAGGCCUUCGGGUUGUAAAGUACUUUCAGCGGGGAGGAAGGGAGUAAAGUUAAUACCUUUGCUCAUUGACGUUACCCGCAGAAGAAGCACCGGCUAACUCCGUG